This 498-nucleotide ribosomal RNA is filed under the name Lactobacillus amylovorus. Its description in RNAcentral is "bacterial SSU rRNA". It matches the Rfam family "Bacterial small subunit ribosomal RNA", at positions 28 to 496 of the family's 1533-position model. The record is from RNAcentral. Lineage: Bacteria; Bacillati; Bacillota; Bacilli; Lactobacillales; Lactobacillaceae.
GACGAACGCUGGCGGCGUGCCUAAUACAUACAAGUCGAGCGAGCGGAACCAACAGAUUUACUUCGGUAAUGACGUUGGGAAAGCGAGCGGCGGAUGGGUGAGUAACACGUGGGGAACCUGCCCCUAAGUCUGGGAUACCAUUUGGAAACAGGUGCUAAUACCGGAUAAUAAAGCAGAUCGCAUGAUCAGCUUUUGAAAGGCGGCGUAAGCUGUCGCUAAGGGAUGGCCCCGCGGUGCAUUAGCUAGUUGGUAAGGUAACGGCUUACCAAGGCGACGAUGCAUAGCCGAGUUGAGAGACUGAUCGGCCACAUUGGGACUGAGACACGGCCCAAACUCCUACGGGAGGCAGCAGUAGGGAAUCUUCCACAAUGGACGCAAGUCUGAUGGAGCAACGCCGCGUGAGUGAAGAAGGUUUUCGGAUCGUAAAGCUCUGUUGUUGGUGAAGAAGGAUAGAGGUAGUAACUGGCCUUUAUUGACGGAAUCAGCCAGAAGUCUAGU